Molecule: long non-coding RNA, 3730 nt
Filed under: Podarcis muralis (Common wall lizard)
Lineage: Eukaryota; Metazoa; Chordata; Lepidosauria; Squamata; Lacertidae
Description: lncRNA (ENSPMRG00000021279.1)
Source: RNAcentral
GCUCAGCAACGCCACUGUGUUUCUUCUCAGUGUGUUUGGAAAGAAGAUUAUUGUUGCAGAUGCAUCAGCUCUGUGUUGCUGCUACAGUCGCUUCUUCUAAACUCAGACUUUGAAGCAUGGAGCAAAUUGGCCAUCUCUUUGUCCUCCUGGAUACUGUGGCUUCACGUCCAUCAGGCCCUUGGCUGUCUCUCUUACCUCCACACAAGACUUUUGCUCAAGGAGAACUGGCUUCAUUGAUAUGCUCCCUGCCAGAAGGACAGAGGGCAACGGGGUUCUAUUUCUAUGAAAAGAGAGGAGGUGUACCAGUCAUGUAUGGACAACAGGCGGAAAAUAUCUUGGAGGUUUCCACAGAAUACCUGGAAACAAACAAAACAUUUCUCUGUGCUUACCUGGGGGGAAAGAGUUCAGGAGGACUCUUCCUGUCUUCGCUGAGUAACGAGGUUGUGCUGUCCAUCACUGAGCACCCUCAUCCCCCAGUCUUAACUGUUUCGCCCGAAAAGGAUAGCUACAGAAGAGAGGAGUCCAUAAAACUUAGAUGUUCAGUUUAUGAAAGCCGCGAUGUAUCAAAGAUCCAGUUUUUCAAGGACAAGAGGCAACUGCAACUCAUCAAUGUCCCCUCCUCUCUGAACACCUUCACACACACACAACUGCUUCUUCCUCAAGAUGGUGGAGAUUACUCCUGCAAGUACCACAUUGUGGUAUCAGGGCGAGAGUUCCCAUCCAGAGAGAGCAACUCCAUCAGGAUUUUGGUAUUGGAUGAACCACUUUCCACAAUGCCUACCUUUUCCACCCCUGACCAGGCUGUUCUGAGUUUUGCCGCCACCACCAGGCCACCUAGAAAGUCAACACUGGCAACUUCAUCAACCAGCUCUUCUCGCUACAUCGCCAGAACACUCUCAACACACACAAAGCUCCUUGCAUCAAGCACCUCCUGGUCCAGCUCUUCGCAGUUGAGUCUGCAUUAUAGCACCUCAACCAGCAGCACCAAUGCUCAGGAGAGCAGGAAAUCCUCCUCCUGCUGUGAUCCCAAAUCAACCACAGACCAAAAGAAGGACAAUUCAUUAAAAGGUUCAUAUCCUUUUCUUCAGGCCAUUAGAUGUGGCACCGGCGGAUGUCUCCUCCUCCUGGUGUUUGUUGUCUGUAUUUAUAGGAAGAAGCACAAAGGUAUUUGGCAAGGCAGGGGAAGCUGAGCCUGGGGAGGUGGACAUCCCAGGAGGAAUGCAGAUGUGGGUGGAAGUAACCCCUGGUGGAAUCAUCACAGCCAGAAUUAUCACUAACUGCUUAUGCACAGCAUGCCUUCUUCAUUUUUUUUUAUUUUGACAAAAUAAUAAUCAUAAAUAAAUAAGAAUGAAAAUGUGCACCCCACCACCGAGAUAAUUCCACUGAAACUAUCCAACCUUCCAAAAUUUCAACACCUCUUGCGAUGGUUUGAACCCUUUCCGUUUUAACAGUACAAAUUCUACAAACACCCUCCAUAUCUCCUCAAAAUCACUUCUCCUGCAUAUUCCCUGUCUUACCUUAAUGGCACAUGUUAUUUUAUCAUUCAUAGCUAUAUCCCACACCUCUUUAUCCCAUUCUUCCAUUUUAUAUUCUGCUUGCCCCUUUUAUAGCUAUAAUAAUUCUAGCUAUAAUAAUUCGUGCAGAAACCUCGCCUGUUCCAUUUCUGUGUGUCAGGUUGCAGUUAGAAGCACAGAAGCAGAGUUAUAAAAGGUAGCAGCCCCAUCUAUUUGUCCAGGACAGAGAUCUGAAAUUCUUCGCAAGGCCCUCUCCAUGGGGCUGCCAUUGAAGACUGUUCAAACCUGCUGUGGUUUCAAAAGACAGCAACUUAUAAAGAGCACAUCCUGUCAGUCUUUAUAAGACCUUUGCAGACUCUCUGUUUCAGAUUCAAAAUGAUGGCCUCUUGGCCCUCAAAGCCCUAAACAACAACCAUCCUUUAAUUUAUUUACCCAUUAAGAAUUACACAUAAUGAACUACAUUGUUCUGUUGUAAAAGAAAAAAUCUGCACACUAAGAGGCUAGAAAAGGAGGAAAAAGAAGAAAAGAAAAAUAAAGAAAAAAAUAAACGAAAAAUCUUAUGAAAAACGUACAAGAAAUGCAAACCAUCAUCGACAUUAUUAUAAACAUAUAUUUCCAGUAAGAAAUCCUUUUAUCUUCAGCUUAUCGAUUUCUCUUUGCCAUUCUUACUUUCUUAUCUAUACCUGAUCUCUGGUUUUAUUCCUUGAUUUAUUUGAUGACUUCCUUCUACCACUAUGCCUUUUCUAAUUUCUCAUAUCUUAAAAUUUGUGCAUCCAUUUUUACUCAGUGGAGAACUUAUCUCUGUGGAAUUUAAUUUAUUCUCAGCCAAGUGUCAUCACUGGAACCGUGUUGCAUCAUGUAAUUUUUAAAAACAUCCCAUUCUUUUUUUAAUCCUAUCUCCUGAAUAGUUUCUUAUGAAUUCUGUUAAUUUCGGUAAUUCAAGAUAUUCACAUAUCUUUAGGUGCCAUUCUUCUUUUGUCGGUAUUACAUUACUUUUCCAAUACUUUGCUAUAAGAAUCCUGGCAGCCGUAGUAGCAUAAAGAAAAACUCUUUUGGGAUGUUUGUUGUAAAAAUACCUAAUAAAAAUAAUUCUGUUUUUUAAGGAAAUGUAUAUUUUAACAUUUUCUUCAAUUCUUCAUAUAUCGUGUCCCAAAAUAAUACGUUGGUGGUACAGAGGUGAGCAUAGCUGCCUUCCAUCCUUGAAAUUUCACCCACUUCUCUGAGUGUUGCAGCACUGUUCCACAGCCAAGCAAUGUAAAGCGCAGCAUUCUAGAGGAUAUUGUGCCUUACGUGCUCUAAAUGUGGGAACCCCUGGUGCCCUGUCUUUGUGUCUCCUUCUUCGCUUAAGAGUCACACACAUUCACAAACUUUUUCUUUUCUUUUCUCAGAUAAGAGAGUGAUCACAGCAAGGUGAGUGAGUACGAAAACUUGGGACAGCUGUCAGAAGCAGCUUCCUCCAAGCUGUUGGACAUGACGCUGCGGUUUGUGUGGCCUGAUCAUCGGAGGAGUCGGGGCUGCUGUGUGUUUAAAAACAGAAGCAGGGACAUGCAGUCAGGAGUGACAAGAGGCUGCAAGGGUGUGGCUGCUUAAAAAAAGCCACCUCUUUUCAAGAAGAUAAAAAGAGCUCUUUAGCACAAUGCAAAGGGGAGUCAUUUGGCCUAGCCUCCAUUUUCCAACUGUAUCCAGCCAGAUGCCUCUGGGAAGCCCACCAGAAGGCCAUUCCUAAUUCCUGCUCCCCUGGUUUUCAGAGAUAGAAUCAAAGAAUUCUAGAGUUGGAAGGGACCCUGAGGAUCAUCUAGUUCAGGCACCCCCAAACUCGGCCCUCCCAAUGUUUUGGGACUACAGCUCCCAUCAUCCCUAGCUAACAGGACCAGUGGUCAGGGAUGGUGGGAAUUGUAGUCCCAAAACAUCUGGAGGGCUGAGUUUGGGGGUGCCUGAUGUAGUCCAACCCCCUGCAAUGCAGGAAUAUGCAGCUGCCCCAUACGGGGAUCAAACCUGCAACCUUGGCAUCAUCAGCACCACGCUCUAACCAACUGAGCUACCCAGGAAGAAGGACCAAAAGGACAAGUUUGGGGGUUGCAGAUAAGGAGGGGGAAAUACAUUUUAAAAAUAAUAAAAAUUGUCCAGUAGCACCUUAGAGACCAACUAAGUUUGUUCUUGGUAUGAGCUUUUGUGCGCACGCACACUUCUUCAGAUACACUGAAACAGAAGUCACC